This 724-nucleotide ribosomal RNA is filed under the name uncultured bacterium. RNAcentral describes it as "bacterial SSU rRNA". It matches the Rfam family "Bacterial small subunit ribosomal RNA", at positions 28 to 776 of the family's 1533-position model. The record is from RNAcentral.
GAUGAACGCUGACAGAAUGCUUAACACAUGCAAGUCUACUUGAUCCUUCGGGUGAUGGUGGCGGACGGGUGAGUAACGCGUAAAGAACUUGCCCUGCAGUCUGGGACAACAUUUGGAAACGAAUGCUAAUACCGGAUAUUAUGUGAGUUUCGCAUGAAAUUCAUAUGAAAGCUAUAUGCGCUGCAGGAGAGCUUUGCGUCCUAUUAGCUAGUUGGUGAGGUAACGGCUCACCAAGGCGAUGAUAGGUAGCCGGCCUGAGAGGGUGAACGGCCACAAGGGGACUGAGACACGGCCCUUACUCCUACGGGAGGCAGCAGUGGGGAAUAUUGGACAAUGGACCAAAAGUCCGAUCCAGCAAUUCUGUGUGCACGAUGAAGUUUUUCGGAAUGUAAAGUGCUUUCAGUUGGGACGAAGUAAGUGACGGUACCAACAGAAGAAGCGACGGCUAAAUACGUGCCAGCAGCCGCGGUAAUACGUAUGUCGCAAGCGUUAUCCGGAUUUAUUGGGCGUAAAGCGCGUCUAGGCGGUUUGGUAAGUCUGAUGUGAAAAUGCGGGGCUCAACUCCGUAUUGCGUUGGAAACUGCCAAACUAGAGUACUGGAGAGGUGGGCGGAACUACAAGUGUAGAGGUGAAAUUCGUAGAUAUUUGUAGGAAUGCCGAUGGGGAAGCCAGCCCACUGGACAGAUACUGACGCUAAAGCGCGAAAGCGUGGGUAGCAAACAGG